This 579-nucleotide long non-coding RNA is filed under the name Serinus canaria (Common canary). RNAcentral's name for it is "lncRNA (ENSSCAG00000001570.1)". The record is from RNAcentral. Lineage: Eukaryota; Metazoa; Chordata; Aves; Passeriformes; Fringillidae.
CCAGGUGUCCCACUCAGGUGUGUCACACACUCAGGUGUGUCCCAGGUGUCCCCUCCGUGUCCCACCUGGCGCCACCGGCUCCGGCCGCACCUGCAGAGACACCCAGGGGGGAUUUUAGGGAAUUUUAGGGAAUUUUCCCUUUUCCCCAAGAUUUUUCCCCAAAAUUUUUUUAGGAUUUUCCCCCAAAAUUUUUUUACAAUUUUCCCCCAAAAUUUUUUUACAAUUUUCCCCCAAAUUUUUUUAAGAUUUUCCCCAAAAUUUUUAAGAUUUUCCCCCAAAUUUUUUAAGAUUUUCCCCCAAAUUUUUUAAGAUUUUCCCCAAAAUUCUUUAAGAUUUUCCCCCAAAUUUUUAAGAUUUUUUUCCCCCAAUUUUUAUAAGAUUCUUUUUCCCCAUUUUUCUAAAAUUUUCCUCCAAAUCUUUUUACAAUUUUCCCCUAUUUUUUUAAAUAUUUUACCCCAAAUUUUAAGAUUUUCCACCCAUUUUUUUAGGAUUUCCCCCCAUUUUUUAGGAUUUUUUCAGCAUUUUUCCCUCCCGUUUUUUAGGAUUUCCCAAAUCCCCUUCCCAGUUUUUUUUUUUUUA